GGAUAACUAUUGGAAACGAUAGCUAAUACCGCAUAAUAGCAGUUGUUGCAUGAUAACUGUUUGAAAGGUGCAAUUGCACCACUACCAGAUGGACCUGCGUUGUAUUAGCUAGUUGGUGGGGUAACGGCUCACCAAGGCGACGAUACAUAGCCGACCUGAGAGGGUGAUCGGCCACACUGGGACUGAGACACGGCCCAG
RNAcentral lists this ribosomal RNA (198 nucleotides) under uncultured Streptococcaceae bacterium. RNAcentral describes it as "partial 16S ribosomal RNA". It matches the Rfam family "Bacterial small subunit ribosomal RNA", at positions 141 to 334 of the family's 1533-position model. Lineage: Bacteria; Bacillati; Bacillota; Bacilli; Lactobacillales; Streptococcaceae. The record is from RNAcentral.